CCCUUAGAUGUCCGGGGCCGCACGCGCGCUACACUGAAGGAAUCAGCGUGGCUUUCUCCCUGACCCGAAAGGGUUGGGAAACCCGUUGAAUCUCCUUCGUGAUAGGGAUUGGGGCUUGAAAUUGUUCCCCAUGAACGAGGAAUUCCUAGUAAACGCGAGUCAUCAGCUCGCAUUGAUUACGUCCCUGCCCUUUGUACACACCGCCCGUCGCACCUACCGAUUGAAUGUUUCGGUGAAGAUUCCGGAUAGGACUUUUUUGAUUUAUUUCAAUUUUGUCUUAAAAGCUAUCUAAACCUCAACAUUUAGAGGAAGGUGAAGUCGUAACA
Molecule: ribosomal RNA, 326 nt
Filed under: uncultured eukaryote
Lineage: Eukaryota
Description: partial 18S ribosomal RNA
Rfam family: Eukaryotic small subunit ribosomal RNA
Source: RNAcentral